Molecule: long non-coding RNA, 2237 nt
Organism: Cuculus canorus (common cuckoo)
Lineage: Eukaryota; Metazoa; Chordata; Aves; Cuculiformes; Cuculidae
Exons: 3
Source: RefSeq, a predicted model, not a curated record
ACUGCUCCUGAAAGCAGCCAACAGGAGGAGAAGGACAUGGGACACAGGCAACAUCUGGGGCUCUACAGCUGCUCAGGAACCACAAGCGCCCUGUGCCUCAGUUUUCCCCUUGCAAAGUACCAGGGCUUUGAGAAAUGCUCUGGGGCCACAAUGUCCAAACACUUUUACUGAGCGAUGCGAGCAAAGGGCAAUCAAUGUCCAUUUUGGGGAGAGAAGCCCAGAAAACACCUUCUUGACUCCCAGCAUAUGCACUUUUUAUUCCUUCUCAAAAUAAAUGCAGCUGAAAAGAAGACGCGAGAGGGUUGCUGAGGCUGGCAAACCCCAGCUGGACCCCAGCGCUGCCCUGACAUCUGAAACGUGCCACAUGCACACACAGCCCCCCUGCACCCUCCUUGCUUCCACCCUUUCAGCUUGCCCUGCCCAAAAGGGCAAAAAAUCCAGGUCAAAAUCACCACAAGAGGAAACGCCUGCUGCAACACAGCCCAAACAGCUUAAGGAAGGAGAGACUUUCCUCUUUAGUGUUCAAGGAGGGGAACAAGAGAAGAUGAGCAAGCAGGACUGUGAAAGGGCACUGCUUUCUUUGAUCACAUAGGGACUAUAUCUAGCAGCUGGGUCCCUGACGCCACAUUUCCAGCCCACCAAGCUACUCCCAGCUAGCAGCAGCCAAGACUGCCCACCACUGCCCUCACUGCUGCUUCCUGGGGUGCUUCAGACCCUCUCGUCUGCUCCAGAUCUUUGCCCUCAUCUGGGAUAUCACCCCAAGGAGAGGAGCAAGGAGAACUCUCUGGGGAGCAGCACCACCUCCCAAGCCCAAAAGACCCAAAAGACCACAGGAGACGCAGCCCCCAAGCCACCGAUCCAGUCUCCUGCAGCAGCUGAGCCCUGUUGCUCCAGGUACAUGAGGGCAAGCAGAACAAGCUCCAUGUCUGCAAUAACCAGCACUUCCAGCAAUGACCCACCUCACACUGCUCUCUCCUCCUCUGUCAUUAUAAACCCUUUAAUUAAAGAGGCAGAAAUUUACCCAGCAUCAGCUGUGGUGAUUUCCCACUUCCAGCCAUGCAGAGAUGACAGCCUUGUCUCUGCAACCGGGUCUGUCCAGAGCUGCUGCUGGGGGCGCAGUGUAGGGGCACAGCACCUCCCAGCUGCCCCACACCUACUCCAUGACUCUGCCCAGACCCAACACCGGCACGGGUGACACCAAGGGUGUCACAAUACAUGCACACACCACUUCUCCCCAAAACCUCAACCAAAAGUGGAAUUUUGCAGGAACUCCUCUACUCAGGAGCAGGGCAGUAAGUCCUGCAAUAGUCCCAAGGUGGUGUCAGUCCCACAGGAGAAACCUGUGUCAGGCACCCAGCCGCCCAGUCCACAGCCAUGGAGACCACUGGGUUUCUCCUCCACAGUUUUGGUGUUUUAGAGGAGCAAACAUCCUGUGUUGCUUUCUCAGCCUGUACCAGCGUAUAUUAAUAACAAUAAAUCUGUAGAGGGCAGAUCAGUUCAUUUUCUAAUCACCUAUGAAACUGCUGCAGCUCCCAAAACGCGGAGGGAUGGGAGGGGAGUGAGAAGCAGGAGCAGAGAGACUAUGCUAUUAAGAAAAGAAAUGGAAAAAAAAGAAACCAGCUGUCAAAAUCCAUAAGAACAAAACGCUUAAGUGGCUGGAUUUCCUCCUCCAACUCUCUUUAGGGCUUUUUCUAGCUGUUGCCAAGGAACACCCCUCCUCGCCGGCGGAAGCAGCCAGCUUCUCUCCUUUGGCUCUUCUUGCAUUGGCAGUGACAGGGAAUUUCCGCCUCACUAAGCCCGUGAGUAGGUUUAAGUCCUGCAAGCAGAGAAAACCUGCCCCGGGGAGGGAAACCCCACACUGAACCUCUCUCCAUCCCUCCCCAGCCCAGGAUGCUCCACAGAAGGCAGUCCAAAGCAAGUGUCUGCCCCGUAAAGAGCCUCCCUCGGCCGCUGCCAGCCGGGCGGUGUCUGCGGGACAGCCCGCCCCUCGCACCCCGCCCGCCGCGCUUAAAGCCGCAGCCGCGGGGAUUAAGGAGGGCUCAGCGCGGAGCAUCGCAGCGGGGACCCCGGGGCAGCCUCCCCGGCAUCCGUCACGAAGGAAGAAGCAUUUUCAAGAGGCACAGAAGGCAUCUCGCAGGUGGGCAGGGAUCAGCUUGCCUUGGCUUCAGCAGUUGAGGAGGGCUGUCCUGGCUGGAGAGGAAGCAGACUGGCAGGUCAACCUUCUCUUGAGCCUUUCC